Molecule: small nucleolar RNA, 122 nt
Organism: Suricata suricatta (meerkat)
Lineage: Eukaryota; Metazoa; Chordata; Mammalia; Carnivora; Herpestidae
Source: Ensembl
UUUUUUGUUUUAAUCUGCCAGCAGUGGCCGUCUCCCUUCCUGGCCAUGGAAGAGCAUAUUCUUAUGGGCAAAGCUGUCACCCUUGAAUGGGCAUCAGAGUCUGACUUGCACUAGUAACAUUG